RNAcentral lists this long non-coding RNA (1319 nucleotides) under Equus caballus (horse). Its description in RNAcentral is "lncRNA (ENSECAG00000049311.1)". The record is from RNAcentral. Lineage: Eukaryota; Metazoa; Chordata; Mammalia; Perissodactyla; Equidae.
AAAAUAUGUGGUGACAAGAAAGCAUUGCUGUAACAUACCAUGUGAGGAUGAUUCAAAGAUAAAGGCCUAUAAAAAUUAACGGUCAAAGAAGAAUGCGGACUAGUAAAGCAACAACCACCUUAUUAUAAACAGAGGUCUCUCCCUACUAGAAUGCAAGUUCCACGAGAGCAGAAUUUUUGUCUGCGUGGUUAGAAGAGUAUCCAGUACAUAACCCUGGUGCUUCCCGAGUGGCCCUACCUGGUGUACUGUGCUGUCUCCUGGGGACUGUGAGAAUAUCAAAACUGUGCAACUCUUUCCAGUUUCCCUCUCUUGAUCUGUGUUUGUCUUCACCAUACCUCACCCAAGGAUUCAGGAUGUACAAGCCUCGCUCCUGGCUGCCUAAGGUGGGACAAAUCAACCUCGGAGAUAUAGCCUGACUCACUUUAAUCCCAGGAUGAGCAUGUACGGUGUAGGGGCAUCAAGUCUGGGGGAAAAGAACAACAGUUUUGUGCUCUCUAUUGGCUGUUGUGAGAGGCUUCUGCCAGUUGGAUUUAUCCUCAGGCUGUCUGUGAUGGUCCCUGACACUUCAUGGCUCACUUCCUUCUGUCAAGUAAUUCAAGGGAAAAAGCAUCCGUACAAGUCCUGGGAUUCACUGAAAUCAAACCAGUUUGGGAAAUAUGUGUAUUCCUGCACCAAACACCAUGAGACCGGCACAAUUGGAAUUAUGCUAAUAGAUGAAUCAUGUGCCAACAAUCAAACUAAUCUUCCUGAUAUAUCCCUCAAGUCAGGAGUGGCACCAUUCCUGAAUCGUACAGACCAAGAAUAGGCAAAUGAUGGUCCCCAAAGGGAACGGGAAUACUGAGAAGCAUUACGGCUGGAAAAUAUCAAUUGUAUUUACUUCUUGCAAUUGAAUACAGUUUCUGUGACAAGGCAUACUAACAUUGUAGAAUAUGUAAGCAAUGACUAUCACCUCUUCUGUAAAGCCAGUCCUGACCCCGGAGAGAGAAAUAACCACUCCAUCCUCUGUGCUCCUACAGUUCUGCCCACCCUAUGAUAUCAUCACAACCCAUUAAUGCCCUAAAUUUCUUGAUUACAUAUAGAUCUCCCCACCCAUGACUGCCUUUUUCACAAGGGUAAAGAAGGUAUCAUUUCCUUCGUAUUUCUCCAUUGAUUUCAUAAUUCCUGAAAAAUAGUAGAACUCCUAAUAAAUGUUUAUUUCUUGAAUAAGUUAUCUCCAUACCUGAUCAUAUAAUAAGCAACAAUGUUGAAAGAUACCAGAUUACAUUAAGGAAUCAAGUGAGACCAGCAGUUAGCCUGAGACUCUACGAUCAAUAUCACUG